RNAcentral lists this ribosomal RNA (427 nucleotides) under uncultured Gammaproteobacteria bacterium. RNAcentral's name for it is "uncultured gamma proteobacterium partial 16S ribosomal RNA". It matches the Rfam family "Bacterial small subunit ribosomal RNA", at positions 355 to 774 of the family's 1533-position model. Lineage: Bacteria; Pseudomonadati; Pseudomonadota; Gammaproteobacteria. The record is from RNAcentral.
UGGGGAAUAUUGGACAAUGGGCGAAAGCCUGAUCCAGCAAUGCCGCGUGUGUGAAGAAGGCCUUCGGGUUGUAAAGCACUUUCAGUGGGGAGGAAGGGUGUAAUGCUAAUACCAUUGCACAUUGACGUUACCCACAGAAGAAGCACCGGCUAACUCUGUGCCAGCAGCCGCGGUAAUACAGAGGGUGCUAGCGUUAAUCGGAAUUACUGGGCGUAAAGCGUGUGUAGGUGGUUAGAUAAGUUAGAUGUGAAAUCCCCGGGCUUAACCUGGGCACUGCGUUUAAGACUGUUUAGCUUGAGUACUGUAGAGGAUAGUGGAAUUUCCAGUGUAGCGGUGAAAUGCGUAGAUAUUGGAAGGAACACCAGUGGCGAAGGCGACUAUCUGGACAGAUACUGACACUGAGACACGAAAGCAUGGGGAGCAAACA